GGGGAAAGGCAAAUUUUCGGACUCAAAAUCCGCCGACCUUACGGUCAUAGGGGUUCGAUUCCCCUCCCGAGUACCA
RNAcentral lists this transfer RNA (76 nucleotides) under Leptospirillum ferrooxidans C2-3. Its description in RNAcentral is "tRNA-Leu (CAA) (tRNA-Leu-CAA-2-1)". Lineage: Bacteria; Pseudomonadati; Nitrospirota; Nitrospiria; Nitrospirales; Nitrospiraceae. The record is from RNAcentral.